RNAcentral lists this ribosomal RNA (433 nucleotides) under uncultured bacterium. RNAcentral describes it as "partial 16S ribosomal RNA". It matches the Rfam family "Bacterial small subunit ribosomal RNA", at positions 29 to 507 of the family's 1533-position model. The record is from RNAcentral.
AACGAACGCUGGCGGCAUGCCUAACACAUGCAAGUCGAACGAGACCUUCGGGUCUAGUGGCGCACGGGUGCGUAACGCGUGGGAACCUGCCCUUAGGUUCGGAAUAACUCCCCGAAAGGGGUGCUAAUACCGGAUAAUGUCUUCGGACCAAAGAUUUAUCGCCUUUGGAUGGGCCCGCGUUGGAUUAGCUAGUUGGUAGGGUAAAAGCCUACCAAGGCGAUGAUCCAUAGCUGGUCUGAGAGGAUGAUCAGCCACACUGGGACUGAGACACGGCCCAGACUCCUACGGGAGGCAGCAGUGGGGAAUAUUGGACAAUGGGCGAAAGCCUGAUACAGCAAUGCCGCGUGAGUGAUGAAGGCCUUAGGGUUGUAAAGCUCUUUUACCCGGGAUGAUAAUGACAGUACCGGGAGAAUAAGCUCCGGCUAACUACGUG